Myotis brandtii (Brandt's bat) is the source of this 1604-nucleotide long non-coding RNA. RefSeq lists it as uncharacterized. The transcript is spliced from 2 exons. NCBI's taxonomy places the organism in Eukaryota, Metazoa, Chordata, Mammalia, Chiroptera, Vespertilionidae. The record is from RefSeq and is a predicted model, not a curated record.
CUUUUUUUUUUUUUUUUUUUAAUGUACCAAGGUACAAUAAUUAAAUGUGAUUUUUUUUUUCCUCAUGGAAUUUUCAAACUUUUACUAUAUCGCCAAUGAAAUUUCCACAUCUCACCUGAAAUUUUUAGAAAAGGCUAUGCUGAGAAUUAAGAAUGUAUUACUUUUUCUAUGCCUAUUUAUUGUUAUAUUUUACUUUAGGAACUCUACAGGCUUUUUAAAAUACCUCCUUUUUUCAUUCUUCAACUUAUUGUUUGGUUCUUGCAGUGAAGACCUGAGCUAUAUCUCACACUGAAUAUACCAGAAUCUAGUUUUGGCAGUUUCCGGAAAGUUACCAUUUUAAAAGAAGUGUUUAACAAAUGUUUCCUUUUUUCACCACUGUCAGUCUCUGGGAGAUCACUAUCUUCCUUUCAUUUAAUUAAAAAAAAAAAAUCUGUCUCAGUGUUUAUGUUGCUAUUUUUCCCUCUAAAAUAUGCUGACUCUCCCAGUAACAAAUGUCUAGAAUCUAGAUUAUAACUCGCUCAUUUUGUGUUCAGAUUAAGAUUACCAUCCCAUCUUUUCACAUUUCCAUGGUGUUAGGAGGCCCACUUCAAGGUUAAAAACCAAAGUCACAGAAUGAGUUAGGUGACAGUGUCAUAUAUAACUCAAUCCCAGAUCUUUUGAAUCCUGAUAGCCCACUUCCUAUUCCUGCCAUCAGAUUAUAAAACAUAAUACUAGGGUGGAAAGACUUCAAACUAUUGCAGACAAUGCUCUACAUAUUUGCAUAAUCUUGAAUCAAUUUGGUCAUGUUUUUAUGGUGGUACUUAAGACUACAGCUAUGAAGGAACAGGCUCAAAUUUGAUAUAAAAACUAAGCCAAUGUGCAAAAAUAUUCAUUUGUUCAUCAAAUAUUAAAUGUCCACUCUGGAAGUUACUGUACCAAGCAUUUGGUAAACAGUGGUGUACAUGGAUGUGAUCCUUAUACUUUCCAGUUCUGUGGGCUAUACUGACCCAGAAAGGUUUAAAUGGUUUCUUUUAUCAGAGGUGAACAGUUUUAUGUUGAUCCCAUAAUGCAACUACAUUAUGAUGAUGGCACUCAUUCUCAAGUGUGAGGUAGUAUAUCAGAGAAAACCAGACUAGGAAUGUUGGCUGUUCUACUAAUUUGAACUCUGUUCUUUCAAGUACUGUCCUUUUAUUCUAAAUGUAAGACAUCAAAAGUAUUAUUAGUACUAUUAUAUUACUAAUAUGACAUUGGAAAUCUAACUACAAAAUAAACUCUGAAUACUAUAAAGAAUUCCACAUAAAGUCUCAAGUACUCUGACCCAGGGAAGCACUGUUUCCACAAGGACUUAAUAGUGUCGAGGUAAUUUCAUUUUCUACUCUUUCUGCAGCUGGAAAAGCAUCUAAAUAUGAAUAGUGACCCAAGAGAAAACAACAAGGAACUCAGGGUGGCUACAGUGACAACAGGAACUGGUACAAAGCCUGAAAAUAAAAUGUAAACCCAAAUCUCAAGUGCAUUUUAGGAAAAGUACCAAUUGCCCAGCUACCUCUUCACAGCAGCUGCAAAGGAAGAAAUGUUCUUCUCUCAUAAGACUUUCAAUUCCAUGACGUUACAUUCACACCUGCUAA